AUGGUUCUCGUCCGCUACGGCAUCACCUACCUCAUCGAGCAUCCACCACCACCCAACGCCAUCUCCCAAUAUCUCGAGCUUGACGCCCACAUCGCCCUCUGGAUUUAUGCCACUCUCUCGGAUGUCAUGUGUGACCAUGUUGUCGGCGCCACCACCACAUAUGCCCUCUGGCACAAGAUUCAGGCCUUCUUUCUUGCCAAUCGCGAUGCGCGGUUCAUGAUCCUCAAUCGCCAGUAUCGCAACCUAAAACAGGGCGAUCUCUCUGUGUCCGACUACGCCCGCCGCAUGAAGCUCCUCACCGACGCUCUCGCCGACAUCAAUCAUGCGGUCACCGAGGUGGAUCUCACCACCCAAUUCCUCCAUGGCUUGGACAAGCGCCUCGACACCAUCCGCGUCGUCCUCGGCGAUCAAGGGCUUCCCUUCGACACCGUCCUCUCCCGCGUCGUCCUGGCUGAGGAGUCCCAGGCGCAGCGCGCGUCUGAGGAGAGCGCCUCUGCUUUCGCUCUGCCUGGCGGUGGCCCCUCGGGCGGUACCUCCGGCGGCGGCAGCCAUCACACCACCGAUCGCUCCAACGACCGUGCUCCGGGCGCCUCCUCUUCGUCGACUCCCGCUUCUGGCCGCGGCCGCGGUGACCGCUAUGGAGACGUUGGUGACCGUGGCCGUGGACGCGGACGCGGCCGUGGACGCGGGCGCCACGACAACGGGGGCCGUGGCCAGCCUCAGCCGGCCUCGCUCGCCCCGUACACUGGCUACUUUGCGCCGUACGGGAUGGCGAUCCCGUCUCCGCGCUCUGGCUGGGUGCCUCCCAACGCCGCCGGUGUGCUCGGGCCCCGCCCGGGCUCUCAUGCCCAGGCCUACCCAGCCUACGCGCCGCCGCCCGCUCCACCGGCCCCGUACUACCCGGUCGCGCCUCCGUCGUGGGAUCACCUUGCGCUGCUCAACGCCGCCUACAGCAACAACAACUACCCCGCUCCUCCCGCACCCGAGUGGUAUCUCGACAGCGGGGCUUCCUCCCACAUCACAGGCAAUUCAGGUACCCUCACCUAG
This 1047-nucleotide ribosomal RNA is filed under the name Triticum aestivum (bread wheat). RNAcentral describes it as "partial small subunit ribosomal RNA". Lineage: Eukaryota; Viridiplantae; Streptophyta; Magnoliopsida; Poales; Poaceae. The record is from RNAcentral.